UACAGAGGUCUCAAGCGUUGUUCGGAUUCAUUGGGCGUAAAGGGCGCGUAGGCGGCGCGGUAAGUCGGAUGUGAAAUCUUGGAGCUUAACUCCGAAACUGCAUUCGAUACUGCCGUGCUUGAGGACUGGAGAGGAGACUGGAAUUUACGGUGUAGCGGUGAAAUGCGUAGAGAUCGUAAGGAAGACCAGUGGCGAAGGCGGGUCUCUGGACAGUUCCUGACACUGAGGCACGAAGGCCAGGGGAGCAAGCGGG
RNAcentral lists this ribosomal RNA (253 nucleotides) under uncultured bacterium. RNAcentral describes it as "partial 16S ribosomal RNA". It matches the Rfam family "Bacterial small subunit ribosomal RNA", at positions 524 to 776 of the family's 1533-position model. The record is from RNAcentral.